Molecule: long non-coding RNA, 991 nt
Organism: Vollenhovia emeryi
Lineage: Eukaryota; Metazoa; Arthropoda; Insecta; Hymenoptera; Formicidae
Exons: 2
Source: RefSeq, a predicted model, not a curated record
AAAGGACUCGUCCUGCAUUGCUCCGUCAAUAAGAAGUUCACGCCCAGAGCAAGACAGUGUUCGUACAGAGUGCCGAGGCCGUGGCUUCCAAAAGAUUUGUUCUGUUCGUACUAGCCUGCAUCGUCGGUUCGAUCAUAUUGGAAAUUUCGGCUUUGCCAACGCGUGGGAUGGAUGCCGAAAUGCUUCCCGGGCAGUAAGUACUUCGACGGAUGCAACGAUUGCUAUUGUAACAACGGUAGAUACUCAUGCAACUUGAAAGUUUGCGGGCGGUUUAUUUCAAAUGGUUCUAAUCAACCGGAAACGAAUCGCCCGCCUCGCCUCCCGAUUUCUGAAUCGUGAAUACAACUACAUUCCGAACUUGCUAACUCACAUAUGCUCACGUGUACGUUUAAAAUGAUUUGAAAUGCACGUGGUGCGUACAUCUUAAACAAUUGAAUCAUUACAUGAUAGUUUUGGUAAACUAAUGGUGCAGAGAUUCAGCAAGUAACCCCGAAAAUAUGUAAUUUGAAAUACAAAAUUGAUAAGGUAAACUUGACAAAAUGUAUAUUGUAUUUGUAUUACAAUAUUUUUAAACACACAUAUUAAGAUUUCGCCAUUUAACUGUGGAUACAAUUAAGAUACAGGUAUAUUUUAAGAAAGGUAAUAUUAUUUGCGCAUAGAACAAACACUUAUUUAUACAAUUUUAAGUUUCCGUUUAUUGCAAUGUUUCAGAGGUAGACAAAUCUGAUAUAUUAAUGUUUGCCAAGUAUCGUGAUAAAUUUAAUAUAAAUCUUGAAUCGCUUAUUGCUAGUAGUUAUUUUUGUAUUAUUAAUAAUUAAAUUGUAUAAUAUGAAACAUAAAGAUUGAAAACACGUGUCCAUAGGCAAAUGGCUCCAUUCUGUUGCAUUCGAUUUUGGUCAGAAAGUAGGUACCAAACGAAUCGUCUCGUCAAAAUAAUCGUAGAUAUGUCAGUCUCAGAGUGUAAUAGUUAACGUUCCAGAAACAGAGGGCU